CCCACGGGAGGCAGCAGUGGGGAAUAUUGGACAAUGGGGGCAACCCUGAUCCAGCAAUUCUGUGUGCACGAAGAAGGUUUUCGGAUUGUAAAGUGCUUUCAGCAGGGAAGAAGGAAGUGACGGUACCUGCAGAAGAAGCGACGGCUAAAUACGUGCCAGCAGCCGCGGUAAUACGUAUGUCGCGAGCGUUAUCCGGAAUUAUUGGGCAUAAAGGGCAUCUAGGCGGCCUGACAAGUCAGGGAUGAAAACCUGCGGCUCAACCGCAGGCCUGCCUUUGAAACUGUAAGGCUGGAGUACCGGAGAGGUGGACGGAACUGCACGAGUAGAGGUGAAAUUCGUAGAUAUGUGCAGGAAUGCCGAUGAUGAAGAUAGUCCACUGGACGGAAACUGACGCUGAAGUGCGAAAGCCGGGGGAGCGAACAGGAUUAGAUACCCGUGUAGUC
RNAcentral lists this ribosomal RNA (443 nucleotides) under uncultured Leptotrichia sp. Its description in RNAcentral is "bacterial SSU rRNA". It matches the Rfam family "Bacterial small subunit ribosomal RNA", at positions 338 to 795 of the family's 1533-position model. Lineage: Bacteria; Fusobacteriati; Fusobacteriota; Fusobacteriia; Fusobacteriales; Leptotrichiaceae. The record is from RNAcentral.